RNAcentral lists this non-coding RNA (18 nucleotides) under Arabidopsis thaliana (thale cress). The record is from RNAcentral. Lineage: Eukaryota; Viridiplantae; Streptophyta; Magnoliopsida; Brassicales; Brassicaceae.
UGCUAAGUACAUGGGCUC